UUAUCCUACUGCACAGUGGCAGACUUAACUCAGUCAUAGGACAAUACAUUUUAUAUGGACUAUUCUGACAUCUGCUUCAUUUGGCAAGUAAAACAAAACUGAGCCAAAUUCCUUGGAGCCAUUGCAAACCACAACAAGAGUUUCUGUAUAAAAUAUACAAGCCUUGUGAACCCUUCGUUCUGAUACAAAGAAUCUCCAAUUCUACCUGGUUCCCCGUGGCCAGUGUUCCCAGGCCCUCUUGCUUCCAUCGCUGGUGACCGUGCUCUCGGGCUGACUGGCAAGCUUCUGUGCGGGGAGCUCUUCGUGCUUUAACUGAGCGAACCAGUGCUCUUUAUCCAACAGAAAGUUAGAGCCUGCCCGGAGGGUGCUGCCCAUAUCUAGCCCCUUCCAGACCCUGUGAUGUCAAUAGGUAGCAGCUGUGACUACUCCCGGGCUAUGGGUUUCAGCUGACCUGAGCACAGGUGAUGGGCCUGGGCUGUCCCCCAGUGCAGCUGACAGUGACCACAGCCAUGCAGGUGCCCUGGGCACUGAGAAAGCGCUGAACUGAACUGAGCUGUGCUGGACUGGUACUCCUAAACCAGAGACAUCCACUGUUCGGUGUACAACUCUGGGAAGCUCACUGGCUAUUCCUGUCUCUUCAUGCCAGAGGGAGGCUGAAAACUACUUGCAAAGUUUCAGGCGAUUCCGGGUGGUCAAGUUUAAGUAUCGCUCAGGGUUUGUGAAACUGUCAUGAGGAAAGACCAGAUUGGCUUUAUGGGGGAUGUCCCGAGAGACAGAGUCCUCUGAGCUGCUGGCUCACACCAGUGGUGUUCUGCCAAGGUCGGGGCGGGCGCUCAGCUAGAGGAGCAGCGCGCGGAGAACCGGUGGCUACACCAGGCUCUCCUCUGCACCUCCUGGAGGGCAGGGUGUGGUCCGUGGGGCCCAGGAGGAGCCCCACAAUCUGUUCCCGGCAGACGCUGUUCAUCUCUAUUCACCCAUGUGGAAGCUCUUAGAUUCCUCAUUUGUGCUACAUCAAUCCCCAAACAGCACUGCCUCGCCAAUUCUUACUUGUUUUAUUUAUUUUUGUAAUCCCUUUCUCAAAUUUAAUCCCUCAUGGCUGUUUGUUCCUUGCCCUCAAAUAAUUCACUACUAGUAAAGCAGAGGGGUUUUUGUUUGUUUGUUUGUUUGUUUGUUUUUAUUGAACUACGGUUGACUUACAACGUUCUAUUAGUUUCAGAUGCACAGCACACGAAAUUGACAAUUCUCUGCGUUAGGCAAUCCUUACCACGUUGCUUUUCCGUGUCAUCACUGCUUUCUGCAUUGAGAAAUUAACAACUGGCUGUGUUUUCCUGCCCCGUAGAUGGAUGGGCAUUCAUCAAUAUCCUUCUCAAAUGUCUUCUACUUGACAAGUUGGGUUUCACAGAAGUCAACUGCAAACCACUUAGCGACCUCACCCUCCACACUCUACAAAUGUCCCUGAUCAUAAAACCAGAACAUCAGUGGUGUGGCCAUUAAAAAAAGCAUCAAAAACCCUCCCAUGCAUACAAAACGGGAGGCUGCACUGUCAAAGCUGCCCGCAGCCCAAGUGUGGUCCCUCCGUGCACGGGGCUGCUGCUGUACUGGGUUUAAUACAGUAGGUCUGCGACACCAUUAAUUUUGCUUGUUCCUCUCCCCUCCCCCAUCCCGUGCUCUCUUUCAUUUCCUCCUCAUAAAUAUGAAGAACGUAUUCCCAA
This is a long non-coding RNA of Neofelis nebulosa (Clouded leopard), 1712 nucleotides long. RefSeq lists it as uncharacterized. The record is from RefSeq and is a predicted model, not a curated record. NCBI's taxonomy places the organism in Eukaryota, Metazoa, Chordata, Mammalia, Carnivora, Felidae. The transcript is spliced from 2 exons.